CUCCUUCACAGCCUGAGAGAGACCCACGAAUCCGUGUUAGAAAGAAGCUGUGAAAACCCAACAUGAACAACGUAAAACCCCGACUUUUACCUGAAUCCGACGGAACCGCCUGACAAACCACCACAGCAGACAGAAGGAACCUGCAGAACAGUCGCUCUGUACAUCUACAGGAAUGAUCUUUAACACGACGUCGAACAGUUGCUAAAUAAAGGUGCACGUCUGUCUGCUUCGGCUGACAGUCUGUCAUGUUUCUGUCGGGGAAAGUGUGAGGUAAUUAGAGGAGCUGAGGUGGACAGCGAGACGCACAUUUGAGAGGACAAAUCCAGAUUAAAUAUGCCGUCUUGUACUAUUCACAUUUAUUUUAAAUUAGACGACUAUUCGAAUGCUAUGUUUAUCUGUACACAACACGAUCACUCCUCAACACAACGCUUGAUUUGAGAAAUCAGGUCAUCCUUAUUUUACUGCUUCUAGCGCCUGUUAGAUUUCCAGCAGUGUAAAGCAAAGUGAAUGCAUGGGUUAAAAGUGUUCAGACUCCAGCAGCAGUAAACUCAAACCACAUAAAUAACUGGUUAAUUAAUUCACAUCUCUUUGUGUUUCAUUCCCAUAAUCAACAAGCCUCUGGAUAACACCAGUGCAGCAUUAGGUGUUUUCAGAGAAGUUUUAAUGACAUCUAUGGAGGUAAGAAGUGCAGAUAUGUUUAUCUGACUUGAGUUUAUUUGUUUGUAAUUACAGCAACUUUUGAUAAAUACUGGUUCACGUUUAAUGCAUCCAUAGAUGAACUGAAAUGAACUUCCUGAUCGUGCAUUAAAGGGAUCAUAUGGAAGCAUGUUUCUGCCAAAGGAUACAAUUUUUUUUUUUGACUUAUUUCAUACUUUUUAUUUAAAAAACAUUUUUUUUAUGUGAAAUUGUGAGGAAAAAAGUCAGGAUUGUUAGAUAUAAACUCAGAAUUUAUGUCUUCUCCAUAUUUCCUCAGAAUGUAAAGUUUUAAACAUGCAGUUUGGAGUUUUUUGUUCUUGCAAUUCUGAAAAAUAAAUAAAUAAAUUGCCAGGAAAUAAAGUCAGAAUUGUGAGACAAAAAGCUGCAAUUAUUGCUUUUGUUUUUUUGUCAUUUGUGGCGUUUUAAAUCCGCAACAUAACGUCACAGACAUGCAUUUAGAGAUGAAGUUUCCCUUAAACAUUGUUCCAAAACACCUGACAUAUUAAUCUUUGGUUUGCUGUAAUUAAAUAUUUUAAAUAGGAUACAUUUGACAAUGAUUUAUUGAAUAUCCGUGUCAUUCUUAGCAGUGACAGCGAGUGCAAGUUUCUGCUUCUCAUGGGGAACAUUUGACAGAGCUGAUUAUUGUGAUUUCUAUUCAGAAAACUGACACGGUAAUGACAGCUGAAUCAUUAUCAGCUAUGCAAAGGUUGACGCUCUGUCUCCUAAUGAGCUGUCUGCAGUUUCUUCACUCCGUCUGAAAGGUUAAGAUUCAGGAUGUCAGCCACUUCUGUAAGAGACAAGGACAAAUGCGAUGCAAAAUGAACAGUUUUUAUAUGAGCUGCAUUGGGAUUAAAAGGGCAAAACAAUCUCGGUGCAAACUUGGUGACAGUUGAAGUCAAAUUGUUAUUGUUGCAUACACAUCAGCACAAUGAAAUGAGUUUGAUUAACAUUCGAUUAUAUGCAUGCAGCGUCACCUAAAGGAACAGUUCAUCCAACAAUGAAAAUCUGCCAAAAAUGUGCUCUCUUCAGGCCAUUCGAGAUGUAAAUGAGUUUGUUUCUUCAUCAGGUUUGGAGAAAUGUAUCAUUGCAUCAGUGUC
Molecule: long non-coding RNA, 1793 nt
Organism: Carassius gibelio (silver crucian carp)
Lineage: Eukaryota; Metazoa; Chordata; Actinopteri; Cypriniformes; Cyprinidae
Exons: 3
Source: RefSeq, a predicted model, not a curated record